GCAGACCACGUUAGAACCUCGGCUCCUGGAGUAGCAGAACCUCGGCUUCAAUGGGACCCUCAUUUCAUAAAUGAAGAAACUGAGAUUCAAAGAGGGGAACUACCGAAGGUUACAGAGCGAGUUCGUGGGUAAGCAUGGCUUCCCAGAUGACCACCAAGGUGGAAGGGAUGAUGAUGUCCAGGCAGAAGGGAGCUAGGCCGGCCCAGGCUUUUCCUCUAGGCACAGCGGACUCCAGGUUCAGCCUUCCCGGAUGGUAAUGUUGCAUUCUGAAGAGCUACUUUCCCGCCAACUCAUCUCUGGACUUCUCUGGGGCCCAACUCUGGUUUCCUGCCUGCAGGAGGUCCCCUCUGACUUCCGACAGUAGAUGACCCUUCUGACUCACAGUUCUACUGCUGGGAAAUGCCUCCAGAGCUGCUGCCCACCCUCUCUGCAUCCCUCCAGAGGUGCAGAGUGGUUGGUGACUUCUCCUGGGCCAUGAGGACAGUCAGUUAAAGUCCUGGCUACCUAUCCCUGAGCCCACAUAUCCUAUGGCUUCACGGAAGGUCCCACCUCCCAAGAAGGGGCUAGUGGCAGGGAAGUUGAGAAACAGAGAGACGGAAAGGUGGCAUAAAACCAAAGAGGGGGACACUGGAGAGGAGCCAGCAAGAGGCCAGGCUGGGGAUGUCAGAGAAGAGGAAAACAGAGAUGAAGCCACAGGCCUGGGGACAAGGGAAGAUGAGAGACAGGAGAUGGAACCCCUUCCCAGACCUGGUGAUGAGGAGGAGGCUCUGAGCAGUCCUAGCCAGGCCCCAGAGAAGCCAUUCCCUUCCUUUGACAGAUGCCACCUGUGUACGCCCCUGCCCGCGAAGAAGUUAACAAAUCACCACCACCACCCUGCCCUGGCCUGGUUGCUGUUGACGUUCAGUCUCCAGGAUGCAUCAUUUUCUUGGAUUUUAAUAGAUAAUUGCCUCGGCCAGACCCUGCAGAGCAAAUUGCCAGCAAAUGUUCAUUGAACACUUUAAAAAUCGAGGGGAAGAGGAGAGGGCUUGGAGGCAGCAUGUGGGGAGAGGUCAACCUCUAAAGUGCCAGCUCUCCAGAAAUGCAGCCGGAAUGAAGGUUUGAAGGGAUGGUAGUGAAUGGAGCACUCCAGGCAGUGUGUGUGCUGAAUCUCAGGGCGGUUUUAGGAGCACUUCAAAGGCCUUUUUGACCAAGAUAUUCACGUUGGCCUGAGGUGAAACAACUCUUAAAAAGCUUUAUUUGAGGAGCCUGGCAGUCCUAUAAGGGGAAACCCACCUAUUACUUCAAGCAAAGCUGAUGCAGAGAGAUGAGCCAAUUGAGCAGGAGACAAUGUAAGCAGCUGUGGGGGUGUCGAGUACUCCCUCCUGCCUGUGGGAGCUGCACCGUGGAGUCUAGCUUGUCACCCUCCGGAGGCAGAGCCCCUCCUCCCUGCCUCCUCUUGGUCUAGAUGGACAGCCAUGGCAGCGGAGGCUGCAGAGCUGAGCAGGUGAUACUGGGCAGCGACCCUGCUGCGGGCAGCGUCCACACCCCACAGCUCUUUACUGCAUUUAUUUAACAAGCGACAUUGAGCCAGCAAUCUCUGCUGAAAAGUGCUCAGCCCUGGAGAGAGAACUGUGAACAACGUGGACACAGCUCCUGCUUUGUGGAGCUUGGUGUCUGACUGGGGUAAAAAUAAACAAGCAGUUACAACACA
RNAcentral lists this long non-coding RNA (1690 nucleotides) under Homo sapiens (human). RNAcentral's name for it is "uncharacterized LOC101929305, transcript variant 9 (LOC101929305)". The record is from RNAcentral. Lineage: Eukaryota; Metazoa; Chordata; Mammalia; Primates; Hominidae.